RNAcentral lists this long non-coding RNA (467 nucleotides) under Manihot esculenta (cassava). RNAcentral describes it as "long non-coding RNA (MESC_LNC004229)". The record is from RNAcentral. Lineage: Eukaryota; Viridiplantae; Streptophyta; Magnoliopsida; Malpighiales; Euphorbiaceae.
GCGUGGCCUUUACCGUGAUAUAUAUAUCUGUCUCUCUGCCACAAUGCUAGCUGUCUUCUGCCGUCUAGCUAGCUCCGUAUGUACGGAUGUGUCAGGCACCUGCUCCAUGCGUAACGGCAAUUGAUUCUCCUCUGAUACGCAUGCGGAAGGACCUACCAGCGGGGCAUCUUGGUCAUUUUCCCCUUUCUGGGCUGGGUUGAAUGGUAGGGCUGAAGUUGAGCCUGGUGAGGGCCUGAUUACUGGGCCGAGAGGUUUGGGCCGGCUUGGUUGAGGAGUCUAGGCAGAGUCCGGCCCUGUGACUGAGCGGGCUGGACCUGACUCUCGAGGGGAAUAUUGAAGCCUUCAGGUCAUGGACUAUUUUCAUGGGCCUGGCCUUUAGACCGGGGUGAAGAAAUCCAGCGAUCAUCAAUUGCCCCUUUAUCUCCUCAGCAGUUAUUCCAUGACUGGUGAGGGGAUAAAUCUUUAAA